CCAAAGGCUCUUUUAAGAGCCACUUCAGUACAUCAGAAAAGUGAAAU
Molecule: non-coding RNA, 47 nt
Organism: Danio rerio (zebrafish)
Lineage: Eukaryota; Metazoa; Chordata; Actinopteri; Cypriniformes; Danionidae
Source: Rfam